UCACCGUGUAUAAAUACUCCACCCUCGCGGCCACAACCCCUGCACUGCACUGCAACUACCAGCCUAGCUAGGCAUAGCCAGAAGCCACUCAGCAACUCCCCUCCCUCGCGCUCUCUUGGUGCAGGCGCGAUGGCCGCACCUUUUCUGCUCCUUCUGCUCGUCGUUUCUGGAGGCGCUGCAGCGGGCGGCGACGGCGAGGCAGGGCUGACCCGGCUCGAGCUCCGAGGCAUCGACGACACGGGCCGUAGGCACGGGCCCUUCGCGCUGGAGGAGCCGGAGUUCAUGCCCGUUAUCUCCACGCACGACGACGAGGCGGUCGAAGCUCCCCGGCUUGAGUUCCGAGGCAUCGACGACUCGGGCCGUGGGCACGCGUCCGACGCGCCGGAGGAGCCGGUGUUCAUGGCCCAUCUCGACGACGAGGCGGGCGAAGCGCCCCGGCUCGAGUUCCGGGGUAUCGACGGCUCGGGCCAUGGGCACGCGUCCGACGCGCCGGAGGAGCGGGCGUUCACGGACGUCAUCUCCACGGGCGGCGCCUGCGGCCGCUUCGCCCGCCUCGUCGCCGAGACGGGGAACGCGGGCCAGCUCUUCUGGGAGCGCGCCGCGGGCGCCGGCGGUCUCACGGUGUUCUGCCCCGAAGACAAGGCCCUUGCCGAGUUCGAGCCCAAGUUCAGAAGCCUCGGCGCCGACGACCGGCUCGCCGUCCUGCUGUACCACGGCGCGGCGGUGUGCUACCGGAGGGAGCAGUUCCGGGCGUUCGACUGGGUGUCAGUGAGCUCGCUGGCCACCGACGCGGCCACAAACAAGAGCC
RNAcentral lists this long non-coding RNA (808 nucleotides) under Triticum aestivum (bread wheat). RNAcentral's name for it is "long non-coding RNA (TAES_LNC019150)". Lineage: Eukaryota; Viridiplantae; Streptophyta; Magnoliopsida; Poales; Poaceae. The record is from RNAcentral.